GACGAACGCUGGCGGCGUGCUUAACACAUGCAAGUCGAACGGAAAUUCCCUGCCUUUGUGGGGUGCUCGAGUGGCGAACGGGUGUGUAACACGUGAGUAACCUGCCCUCGACUGUGGGAUAACUUCAGGAAACUGGGGCUAAUACCGGAUAGGUGCUCAUGCUGCAUGGCGGUGGUUGGAACGUGUCGGCUGUUGGGGAUGGACUCGAGGCUCAUCUGCUUGUUGGUGGGGCAGCGGCUUACCAAGGCAUUGAGGGGUAGCCGGCCUGAGAGGGUGACCGGCGCCAUAAGGCCUGAGAUACGGCCCAGAAGCCUACGGGAGGCAGCAGUGGAGAGUAUUGCACAAUGGGCGGGAGCCUGAUGCAGCAACGCCGCGUGCGGGAUGACGGCCUUCGGGUUGUAAACCGCUUUCGCCUGUGACGAUGAGGGAGUGACGGUAAUGAGUAAAGAAGCACCGGCUAACUACGUG
RNAcentral lists this ribosomal RNA (468 nucleotides) under uncultured bacterium. RNAcentral's name for it is "partial 16S ribosomal RNA". It matches the Rfam family "Bacterial small subunit ribosomal RNA", at positions 28 to 507 of the family's 1533-position model. The record is from RNAcentral.